AUGCCGCAGUCUGGAAUCUCUCACGUCACCUGCCCGCCCCGCGCAGCUCGGCUCAAUGGCCUUGAGCCAAGCCAAGAACGCCCCGCGCUGCGCCAAUGGGAAGCGGCAAGAGCAUUCUGGCCCCGCCCCUUGGACGCAGGCCCACGUAGCUCACACAUCACCCUGCUUGGCAACAGCCUACGCAUGCGUGCUACAUCCCGAGUCGUGAAGAAGCAGCCGCCAUCGCGCUCAAACAAAAUGGCGGCGGAAGCCGCGCCCGAAGUAAAGAAGGGCAGCGGCCAUCACGCCCCCAUCCCGCAGAGAGGGCCCGGGGCCAACACCUGCCCCACAGCAAAGCCCCCGGAGAGAAAGCCGCCGCGGCAGCAGCUCCCUCCGCCGCACCCAGGACCCCCCCCGGGGCUUGCCCGGCCCCCGCACGAACCUGGGCUGCGCCGGUGUGCGUGCAGGCCGAGGCCGGACGGGCGAGGCGAGCGCUACGAGCGAGUCCUAAGCAACCCUCGAUCCCUCCUCGUCGACGUCUGGCUCCCGACUGGCCAACGCGAUAGUGCUUCAGAGUUCAGAGCUCACCCGUGGUGGAACAGUGCUGGCACAAGAGAAGAUUAAUCGGAUGUACUUUUUGCUUAGCCCUUUAUCAUCAUUUCCGCUGCCUAGAAAUAGUCACAGGGCUCACACACAAGCCCUGUGGGAGAGAGAGCACAGCACAUAAUAAUGUGAUAAACAGAACGAUGUCGUUAGACAUUGGUAGCAGCUUUGCAAAUCAUCUGAGUUCACUGCAUGACGUACCAAGUUCUUCUGCCAUUCAUUCUCUCGGCGUGUCCCACCAGUUCCCAGGGGCUGGCAUUUUCCCAGCACUACAGUUAUUAUGAUCUCUAAUGAGCUAAACACAAAGGUGAAUGUCUGAUAAACAAGCAGAGGGAUGACUGCACGUUUUUACGAAAUAUCUUCCUGCUGAUCUCAGACAACAGAGAUUGAAAAGCCCAAGAAAACUUUUCAUUCUGUACCAUUUCCUCAGUUCUUUCUCCACUCCUUUUUUAAAAGCUUAAAGUGAUGGGGCUUCCACGACUCUUGGUGGGAGGUUAUUUAAGUCCAGCAGAUUGCACUGCCAGGAAUUUUUCCUAGUGUUUAACCUAAAUUUCCCUUUUUUUCUCCUGAAGUCCACACUGUUACUUUUUGUUCUAGACCUUUGAACCAGAGGAAAGAAUUCCUCUUCCUGCUGAGUAUAUUUCCCCUGGAAGGUUAUAUAAGCCUGCCUUAGUCAUCGCUGCUCAGCCAAGUUACACAUAUUUCACCCUUUUAAACUUUCCCUGCAAAUCCUUCCAGUCUCUGCUCACUUUAUUGCUCUUAUAUGAUCUUCCCUCACUUUGUCUAGGUUUUAGACUUAAAUACGGUGCUGCUGUUAUGAAAAAAUAGGUAUUGGUUUGCUUUGAACGUAUGGAUGCCUUCCCCCGCUGCCUCCCACCCUUUUCUACCAUCUGUCUCGCUGGGUAAACUGCCUAUCAGCUUUGAGAGCUGUUCUUGAGGCAGAACUGAAUACGUGUUACCAGGCAGACCUGACAUCGUUCUGCCUGUUUGUAGCUGCACUCUGGACACAGGCAUGAAAAUG
RNAcentral lists this long non-coding RNA (1603 nucleotides) under Crocodylus porosus (Australian saltwater crocodile). RNAcentral describes it as "lncRNA (ENSCPRG00005018168.1)". Lineage: Eukaryota; Metazoa; Chordata; Crocodylia; Crocodylidae. The record is from RNAcentral.